This is a small nuclear RNA of Ailuropoda melanoleuca (giant panda), 156 nucleotides long. Its record names the gene U4. It matches the Rfam family "U4 spliceosomal RNA". Rfam says of the family: U4 small nuclear RNA (U4 snRNA) is a component of the major U2-dependent spliceosome. The structure of U4 snRNA from yeast and human has been reported. U4 snRNA presents a k-turn RNA motif in the 5p-SL related to recognition of Snu13 protein. Lineage: Eukaryota; Metazoa; Chordata; Mammalia; Carnivora; Ursidae. The record is from Ensembl.
CGCUUUGUGCAGAGGCUGUAUCAUGGCCAACGAGGUUGAUCUGAGGCGCGAUUACUGCUCAUUGAAAACUUUUCCAUUAUGACGUACAACAAGUACAAUGACAAACAUUUUCUUUAGUAUAAAAAUCAAUAGAGUAAUUGUGUUCUUCUAAUUAGA